AGGAAGAAGUUCUCUCCUCAUCCAAAUCUGAGUGUCACCUUGGAAUURGGUGUGUGCACAGAUAUCCUGACCAUGUGCUAAAUUUAGCAGGUGGGAAGACAGGGAUACAGAACAUGACAGCGACCUGCCCCGCUCAUGAAGCAGAGRGGCAACAGAAACCAAAAUCCAGAAUCCCAGACUUGUGACCAGCCACCAAAGCAGUACUCCAGGGAUAAGAGUGGUGUAAGCAGUGACAGCAAAUUUCAACUUCCAAUAGACCUGCCCAGAGGGAAAGCAGGAAGAAUACUUGAAGACAGACACCGUGUUUGCUUGACAUACAAAUCACAGGUCUCCAUGUAUACUUCAAACCAGAGAUUCUGUCUCAGAUCUUUUCAAUCUAUGGGUAAAUUAUGACUUUUCUAACUUGUUAUUCUGAAGCCUCAUUUGAUCAUUAUGAUUAUAAAAUAAUCUCAUAACCAAAUACAUUUUAUGUGCUGAAGGAGUUCAAAAGCCUCUCUCUGUUUCUCUGUAACUCAUUUUCUCUGUUUCAAAUGAAAAUAAAUAUUCUUCAUAAAUA
Molecule: long non-coding RNA, 556 nt
Filed under: Dromaius novaehollandiae (emu)
Lineage: Eukaryota; Metazoa; Chordata; Aves; Casuariiformes; Dromaiidae
Description: lncRNA (ENSDNVG00000015944.1)
Source: RNAcentral